RNAcentral lists this unclassified non-coding RNA (373 nucleotides) under soil metagenome. Its description in RNAcentral is "partial contains 5.8S ribosomal RNA, internal transcribed spacer 2, and large subunit ribosomal RNA". The stretch from base 1 to 121 matches the Rfam family "5.8S ribosomal RNA", at positions 35 to 154 of the family's 154-position model. The record is from RNAcentral.
GAUGAAGACCGUAGCGAAAUGCGAUAAGUAAUGCGAAUUGCAGAAUUCCAGUGAGUCAUCGAAUCUUUGAACGCACAUUGCGCCCUUUGGUAUUCCGAAGGGCAUGCCUGUUCGAGCGUCAUUAUCACCCCUCAAGCCCUCGGCUUGGUGUUGGACGGUUUGGUGGAGGCCCCCUCGGGGGCUCCUGCCCCUCCCAAAGACAAUGACGGCGGCCUCGUUGGACCCCCGGUACACUGAGUUCUUCACGGGACACGUAUCGGACACAUGGGUUUACGGGACACGGUCUGCCUCCCCUCAGGGAGAAUCUUUCUAAGGUUGACCUCGGAUCAGGUAGGGAUACCCGCUGAACUUAAGCAUAUCAAUAAGCGGAGGA